This 148-nucleotide non-coding RNA is filed under the name Gorilla gorilla gorilla (western lowland gorilla). Lineage: Eukaryota; Metazoa; Chordata; Mammalia; Primates; Hominidae. The record is from Rfam by way of RNAcentral.
GCCAGGUGUGGUGGUGGGCACCUGUAAUCCCAGCUACUCGGGAGGCUGAGGCAGGAGAAUUGCUUGAACCCAGGAGGUGGAGGUUGCAGUGAGCCAAGAUCACACCACUGCACUUCAGCCUGGGCGACAGAGCGAGACUCUGCCUCAA